RNAcentral lists this unclassified non-coding RNA (372 nucleotides) under uncultured fungus. RNAcentral describes it as "partial contains 5.8S ribosomal RNA, internal transcribed spacer 2, and large subunit ribosomal RNA". Lineage: Eukaryota; Fungi. The record is from RNAcentral.
AACGCACAUUGCGCUGUCUGGAAACCCGGGCAGCAUGUCUGUUUGAGUAUCAUUUCUAGGUCUUUCUUAAUGAUGAUGUUGAACAUUUAUGUUCUAUUUGGCAUUAAGUUAGGAAUUGAAGUAUUAUCACCAGUCUCGUGUGAUAUUCUUUAAAAUUGAAGAGUGUUAAAAAAACGACGUUCAAAACCGUGCAGUGUAGUCCAAAAGGAAUCUCUGUAUGAAUGUAUUGACGUAGUUUACUCUGAUUCUAUUUUAUGAAAUGUUUUUGUGUGGUAGUGCAAAACUCGCCGUUACUUGACGUUACGAGUUUUAUUAACCGCCCCAAAAAAGAACUUUGAUCUCAAAUCAGACAAGAUUACCCGCUGAACUUAA